This 230-nucleotide ribosomal RNA is filed under the name uncultured bacterium. RNAcentral's name for it is "partial 16S ribosomal RNA". It matches the Rfam family "Bacterial small subunit ribosomal RNA", at positions 334 to 556 of the family's 1533-position model. The record is from RNAcentral.
UUGUCCUACGGGGCGCAGCAGUAGGGAAUCUUCCACAAUGGACGAAAGUCUGAUGGAGCAACGCCGCGUGAGUGAAGAAGGGUUUCGGCUCGUAAAGAUCUGUUGGUAGUGAAGAAAGAUAGAGGUAGUAACUGGCCUUUAUUUGACGGUAAUUAAUUAGAAAGUCACGGCUAACUACGUGCCAGCAGCCGCGGUAAUACGUAGGUGGCAAGCGUUUUACGGAUUUAUUG